RNAcentral lists this ribosomal RNA (2903 nucleotides) under Escherichia coli HVH 83 (4-2051087). Its description in RNAcentral is "bacterial LSU rRNA". It matches the Rfam family "Bacterial large subunit ribosomal RNA". Lineage: Bacteria; Pseudomonadati; Pseudomonadota; Gammaproteobacteria; Enterobacterales; Enterobacteriaceae. The record is from RNAcentral.
UUAAGCGACUAAGCGUACACGGUGGAUGCCCUGGCAGUCAGAGGCGAUGAAGGACGUGCUAAUCUGCGAUAAGCGUCGGUGAGGUGAUAUGAACCGUUAUAACCGGCGAUUUCCGAAUGGGGAAACCCAGUGUGUUUCGACACACUAUCAUUAACUGAAUCCAUAGGUUAAUGAGGCGAACCGGGGGAACUGAAACAUCUAAGUACCCCGAGGAAAAGAAAUCAACCGAGAUUCCCCCAGUAGCGGCGAGCGAACGGGGAGGAGCCCAGAGCCUGAAUCAGUGUGUGUGUUAGUGGAAGCGUCUGGAAAGGCGUGCGAUACAGGGUGACAGCCCCGUACACAAAAAUGCACAUAUUGUGAGCUCGAUGAGUAGGGCGGGACACGUGGUAUCCUGUCUGAAUAUGGGGGGACCAUCCUCCAAGGCUAAAUACUCCUGACUGACCGAUAGUGAACCAGUACCGUGAGGGAAAGGCGAAAAGAACCCCGGCGAGGGGAGUGAAAAAGAACCUGAAACCGUGUACGUACAAGCAGUGGGAGCCUCUUAAUGGGGUGACUGCGUACCUUUUGUAUAAUGGGUCAGCGACUUAUAUUCUGUAGCAAGGUUAACCGAAUAGGGGAGCCGAAGGGAAACCGAGUCUUAACUGGGCGUUAAGUUGCAGGGUAUAGACCCGAAACCCGGUGAUCUAGCCAUGGGCAGGUUGAAGGUUGGGUAACACUAACUGGAGGACCGAACCGACUAAUGUUGAAAAAUUAGCGGAUGACUUGUGGCUGGGGGUGAAAGGCCAAUCAAACCGGGAGAUAGCUGGUUCUCCCCGAAAGCUAUUUAGGUAGCGCCUCGUGAAUUCAUCUCCGGGGGUAGAGCACUGUUUCGGCAAGGGGGUCAUCCCGACUUACCAACCCGAUGCAAACUGCGAAUACCGGAGAAUGUUAUCACGGGAGACACACGGCGGGUGCUAACGUCCGUCGUGAAGAGGGAAACAACCCAGACCGCCAGCUAAGGUCCCAAAGUCAUGGUUAAGUGGGAAACGAUGUGGGAAGGCCCAGACAGCCAGGAUGUUGGCUUAGAAGCAGCCAUCAUUUAAAGAAAGCGUAAUAGCUCACUGGUCGAGUCGGCCUGCGCGGAAGAUGUAACGGGGCUAAACCAUGCACCGAAGCUGCGGCAGCGACACUAUGUGUUGUUGGGUAGGGGAGCGUUCUGUAAGCCUGUGAAGGUGGCCUGUGAGGGUUGCUGGAGGUAUCAGAAGUGCGAAUGCUGACAUAAGUAACGAUAAAGCGGGUGAAAAGCCCGCUCGCCGGAAGACCAAGGGUUCCUGUCCAACGUUAAUCGGGGCAGGGUGAGUCGACCCCUAAGGCGAGGCCGAAAGGCGUAGUCGAUGGGAAACAGGUUAAUAUUCCUGUACUUGGUGUUACUGCGAAGGGGGGACGGAGAAGGCUAUGUUGGCCGGGCGACGGUUGUCCCGGUUUAAGCGUGUAGGCUGGUUUUCCAGGCAAAUCCGGAAAACCAAGGCUGAGGCGUGAUGACGAGGCACUACGGUGCUGAAGCGACAAAUGCCCUGCUUCCAGGAAAAGCCUCUAAGCAUCAGGUAACAUCAAAUCGUACCCCAAACCGACACAGGUGGUCAGGUAGAGAAUACCAAGGCGCUUGAGAGAACUCGGGUGAAGGAACUAGGCAAAAUGGUGCCGUAACUUCGGGAGAAGGCACGCUGAUAUGUAGGUGAAGCGACUUGCUCGUGGAGCUGAAAUCAGUCGAAGAUACCAGCUGGCUGCAACUGUUUAUUAAAAACACAGCACUGUGCAAACACGAAAGUGGACGUAUACGGUGUGACGCCUGCCCGGUGCCGGAAGGUUAAUUGAUGGGGUUAGCGGUAACGCGAAGCUCUUGAUCGAAGCCGCCGGUAAACGGCGGCCGUAACUAUAACGGUCCUAAGGUAGCGAAAUUCCUUGUCGGGUAAGUUCCGACCUGCACGAAUGGCGUAAUGAUGGCCAGGCUGUCUCCACCCGAGACUCAGUGAAAUUGAACUCGCUGUGAAGAUGCAGUGUACCCGCGGCAAGACGGAAAGACCCCGUGAACCUUUACUAUAGCUUGACACUGAACAUUGAGCCUUGAUGUGUAGGAUAGGUGGGAGGCUUUGAAGUGUGGACGCCAGUCUGCAUGGAGCCGACCUUGAAAUACCACCCUUUAAUGUUUGAUGUUCUAACGUUGGCCCGUAAUCCGGGUUGUGGACAGUGUCUGGUGGGUAGUUUGACUGGGGCGGUCUCCUCCUAAAGAGUAACGGAGGAGCACGAAGGUUGGCUAAUCCUGGUCGGACAUCAGGAGGUUAGUGCAAUGGCAUAAGCCAGCUUGACUGCGAGCGUGACGGCGCGAGCAGGUGCGAAAGCAGGUCAUAGUGAUCCGGUGGUUCUGAAUGGAAGGGCCAUCGCUCAACGGAUAAAAGGUACUCCGGGGAUAACAGGCUGAUACCGCCCAAGAGUUCAUAUCGACGGCGGUGUUUGGCACCUCGAUGUCGGCUCAUCACAUCCUGGGGCUGAAGUAGGUCCCAAGGGUAUGGCUGUUCGCCAUUUAAAGUGGUACGCGAGCUGGGUUUAGAACGUCGUGAGACAGUUCGGUCCCUAUCUGCCGUGGGCGCUGGAGAACUGAGGGGGGCUGCUCCUAGUACGAGAGGACCGGAGUGGACGCAUCACUGGUGUUCGGGUUGUCAUGCCAAUGGCACUGCCCGGUAGCUAAAUGCGGAAGAGAUAAGUGCUGAAAGCAUCUAAGCACGAAACUUGCCCCGAGAUGAGUUCUCCCUGACUCCUUGAGGGUCCUGAAGGAACGUUGAAGACGACGACGUUGAUAGGCCGGGUGUGUAAGCGCAGCGAUGCGUUGAGCUAACCGGUACUAAUGAACCGUGAGGCUUAACCUU